Mauremys reevesii (Reeves's turtle) is the source of this 385-nucleotide long non-coding RNA. RefSeq lists it as uncharacterized. The transcript has 3 exons. The record is from RefSeq and is a predicted model, not a curated record. NCBI's taxonomy places the organism in Eukaryota, Metazoa, Chordata, Testudines, Geoemydidae.
GGAAAUGUAACAAGUGAAAAUUGAAGGCUAAUUAUCUUCAGGCAGCACUGGUCAGGAGCAGGUGUGAGGAGUUACCUGGGGGCAGACAGAUCCCUCAACUCUGUCAUACUGGCCUAUGACUGCAUCUCAUGCAUCAUGGUGCACUGAGCGAGGAGGAAACAUCAGGGGCUUCGCCAUACUUCAGUCUGCAUCCAUUUAAAGUCCUGAGGGAGGGAAGCCCGCACAGUCCUCUUGUUCUUUACAUCUGGCCCUGCAAGCAAGCUGAGUUUCAAGCCUACACUAGCUGGUCUCCUCUGUGCAAUAAAACCUGCAACACUGGCACCUGGUUCACACACCUACACUGUUUGUUGCUUUCCUCCUCCUCCUCUUCCCCCUGUACGUUUUC